AUGUAUCAUUUCUCUGUGACUUCAACAUUUCUUCGCAUUAAGAAUCAAGAACGUUACUUAGACAAUACUCCAGAGAUGAACUCUGCUCCAGGCUUAGUAACUGUGGUACUCUUAAUGCUUGGACAAACUCAUGGAAACUCAGUGAAUCAGAUGGAAGGCCCAGUGACCCUCUCAGAAGGGGCUUUCCUGACGAUGGACUGUACUUACUCAACCACCGGGUACCCCACUCUUUUGUGGUAUGUUCAAUAUCCUGGAAAAGGUCCACAGCUCCUCCUGAGAGCCACGAAGGCUGGUGAGAAGGGAAGAAAUGACGGUUUUGAAGCCUUAUACAAUGAAGAAAGCACCUCCUUCCACUUGGAGAAAGCCUCUGUCCAAGAGUCAGACUCGGCUAUGUACUACUGUGUACUGGGUGACACAGUGACAGGAACUGCAGGGGGAGCUGAGCACAAACUGUGAGCAGCAACAAGGGGC
Equus caballus (horse) is the source of this 471-nucleotide non-coding RNA. NCBI's taxonomy places the organism in Eukaryota, Metazoa, Chordata, Mammalia, Perissodactyla, Equidae. The record is from the annotation of a RefSeq genome assembly.